Molecule: non-coding RNA, 84 nt
Organism: Fusarium floridanum
Lineage: Eukaryota; Fungi; Ascomycota; Sordariomycetes; Hypocreales; Nectriaceae
Source: the annotation of a GenBank genome assembly
UCUUCCGUAGUAUAGUGGUCAGUAUGCAAGCUUGUCAUUUAAAACAAUUCGCUUGAGACCCGGGUUCAAUUCCCGGCGGGAGAG